RNAcentral lists this ribosomal RNA (497 nucleotides) under uncultured bacterium. RNAcentral's name for it is "partial 16S ribosomal RNA". It matches the Rfam family "Bacterial small subunit ribosomal RNA", at positions 28 to 507 of the family's 1533-position model. The record is from RNAcentral.
GAUGAACGCUGGCGGCGUGCCUAAUACAUGCAAGUCGAGCGAACAGACGAGGAGCUUGCUCCUUUGACGUUAGCGGCGGACGGGUGAGUAACACGUGGAUAACCUACCUAUAAGACUGGGAUAACUUCGGGAAACCGGAGCUAAUACCGGAUAACAUGUUGAACCGCAUGGUUCAACAGUGAAAGACGGUCUUGCUGUCACUUAUAGAUGGAUCCGCGCCGCAUUAGCUAGUUGGUAAGGUAACGGCUUACCAAGGCAACGAUGCGUAGCCGACCUGAGAGGCUGAUCGGCCACACUGGAACGGAGACACGGUCAAGACUCCUACGGGAGGCAGCAGUAGGGAAUCUUCCGCAAUGGGCGAAAGCCUGACGGAGCAACGCCGCGUGAGUGAAGAAGGUCUUCGGAGCGGAAAGCUCUGUUAUUAGGGAAGAACAGAUGUGUAAGUAACUAUGCACGUCUUGACGGUACCUAAUCAGAAAGCCACGGCUAACUACGUG